CGGCGGAGCCUCUUGUGCUGUUUGGAGGGUUGAAGCGGCUCCUGGGAGAGAGAGAGGAUGCCAAAAAGAGCACUCUGGACAACAGAGAAUGAGAAGCAGCAUUAAAGUGCAAAAUAAGCCAUUAUACAAAAUAUUUUCCAAUUCCUCUGGAAAGUUUAAAAACUACUCUUCCUCAGCAGAUGAGAGAUGAGGGAAAGAAUAACGAGAAUAAAGU
This is a non-coding RNA of Pseudonaja textilis, 214 nucleotides long. The record is from RefSeq and is a predicted model, not a curated record. NCBI's taxonomy places the organism in Eukaryota, Metazoa, Chordata, Lepidosauria, Squamata, Elapidae.